UAGGGAAUCUUCGGCAAUGGACGGAAGUCUGACCGAGCAACGCCGCGUGAGUGAAGAAGGUUUUCGGAUCGUAAAGCUCUGUUGUUAGAGAAGAACGUUGGUAGGAGUGGAAAAUCUACCAAGUGACGGUAACUAACCAGAAAGGGACGGCUAACUACGUGCCAGCAGCCGCGGUAAUACGUAGGUCCCGAGCGUUGUCCGGAUUUAUUGGGCGUAAAGCGAGCGCAGGCGGUUCUUUAAGUCUGAAGUUAAAGGCAGUGGCUUAACCAUUGUACGGUUUGGAAACUGGAGGACUUGAGUGCAGAAGGGGGGAGUGGAAUUCCAUGUGUAGCGGUGAAAUGCGUAGAUAUAUGGAGGAACACCGGUGGCGAAAGCGGCUCUCUGGUCUGUAACUGACGCUGAGGCUCGAAAGCGUGGGGAGCAAACAGG
Molecule: ribosomal RNA, 429 nt
Filed under: Bacillota bacterium
Lineage: Bacteria; Bacillati; Bacillota
Description: Firmicutes bacterium partial 16S ribosomal RNA
Rfam family: Bacterial small subunit ribosomal RNA
Source: RNAcentral